GGAUUAAGCCAUGCAAGCCUAAGAGUAACUGAGACAUAUAGGAGGUCUGCGAACGGCUCAUUAAAACAGAGAUAAUCUACCGGGGGACUCGCAGCUUCUGCUGCUACUUUGGAUAACUUCGCUAACGCGAAGCUAAUACAUGUAAGCACAGCGAGCGGUCACUUAUGCCGGUUUACCGGUCCGAUCGUCUCGUGCUAAUGGUUGGAACAAAAACCAACGCCAGCAAUGGCAGUUUUUGUAAAGUGUUGACUCAAACCAUUUAGCCCAAGCACGCUUCGGCGUGCGUGCCCCGAUGAGUCUCUGACCUAUCAGCUUUGACGGUARUGUAUUGGAUUACCRUGGCGAUCACGGGUACGGGGAAUUAGGGUUCGAUUCCGGAGAGGGAGCCUGAGAAACAGCUACCACUUCUACGGAGGGCAGCAGGCGCGUAAAUUGCCCAAUGCCAAAUUUGGUGAGGCAGCGAAGAGAAAUAGCGACCCAGACCUUCGGGUGUGGGAUCGGAAUGGGUGGUAUUUACAACCACCAACGAGUAACAAUUGGAGGACAAGUCUGGUGCCAGCACCCGCGGUAAUUCCAGCUCCAAUAGCGUAUAUUAAUGUUGUUGCUGUUAAAGGGUUCGUAGUUGAAUGCAGGGUUUGGGAGUUGUGUGACCUUGCGGUCAUCACGUCAUCCCAUCCCUGUCUUUUAGAUGGGAUCGUAUGCCUUGCCGAGGGGUCACCUUCAUUGGUGGUUCCGAGGCUGUUGAGUGAAGAGCUCAACGUACGCGUCACCACGCGCUACGGGCCGCCCGUCGUUAUCACUGUGAAGAAAACAGCGUGUUCAAGGCAACCGUCUCGCGGUUGAAUGACAAAGCAUGGAAUGACAAAGCAUCGACCAAUGGGUCUGGCUUUUGUUGGUUUUUACAACCCAUUUGGAUAUCUCAUGUCUGGCAGUCGCUUGCGACUCUGGGCAAACACGGGAUUAAUGGGGGUUGUCGGGGGAAAACGUAUCUGAGCGAGAGAGGUGAAAUUCUUAGACCGCUCGGGGACGAACUUAUGCGAAGGCAUUUUCCAAGUAUACCUUCAUCAAUCAAGAACUAAAGUGUGGAGAUCGAAGAUGAUUAGAUACCAUUGUAGUCCACGACUGCAAACGAUGACGCCCAUGGAUCGGAAGUGAAUACUCACCCUCCGUGAUGGGAUUUUUUCGGCGCUGCUCUACCCUAUUAACGCGAAAGCUGAGGCUAUGGUCUCAUGGGGGAGUACGUUCGCAAGGCUGAAACUUAAAGAAAUUGACGGAAUGGCACCACCAGGCGUGGAGUGUGCGGUUUAAUUUGACUCAACACGGGGAACCUUACCAGUACAGGAAAACGCAAGGAUUGACAGAUUGAUAGUUCUUUCUUGAUUCGUUUGACGGUGGUGCAUGGCCGCUUUUGGUCGGUGAAGUGAUUUGUUUGGUUGAUUCCUUUAACGGACGAGACCCAAACCGCUUAAUAGGUGGACCAUCUGCCUUCGGGCUUUGGUGCUUGGGUGGAGCCUUCGGGUUCUGCCUGGGUUUCCGAUGGUGAUACUCCUUCUUCGCGGCAUUCCCUGCUCCUUA
Molecule: ribosomal RNA, 1575 nt
Filed under: Ichthyobodo sp. HC-2003
Lineage: Eukaryota; Euglenozoa; Kinetoplastea; Prokinetoplastida; Ichthyobodonidae
Description: bacterial SSU rRNA
Rfam family: Eukaryotic small subunit ribosomal RNA
Source: RNAcentral